Long non-coding RNA from Haemorhous mexicanus (house finch), 738 nucleotides. RefSeq lists it as uncharacterized. The record is from RefSeq and is a predicted model, not a curated record. NCBI's taxonomy places the organism in Eukaryota, Metazoa, Chordata, Aves, Passeriformes, Fringillidae. The transcript is spliced from 2 exons.
UGGAGCUGUGUGUCAGCUGUGGAGCUCUGUGGCACUGCCACGUCCAGAGAUGACACAGAGGUGUCAGAAGUGGGCACAGACCCGAGCGGGGCAGACCUGGCCAGGCUGGGGCAGAGCAGGGUGCUCUGCACAGAGGUGCAAAGCAGCAGGAGAGGUUUCAGGAAGGACUGAGGCACGAAAGCCACGUGGGCAGGGCCAGAGGCAGGUGGGGGAGAGCACUGCUUUCCCUGCAGGAGUGUUUUGACAGCUGUGGGAGCUGGGAACUGGCAGAGCAGGGAGAGCUCGGGGCAGGAGCAGUGGUGCCUUGGCAGGGCUGAGGCAGCCCCUGCAGCCAGCAGAGCUGUGUUUUACUGCCCAAAGCUUCCUCUGCAACCCCCCUCUCCUCAGCCUGCAUCUUCCACCUGCUUUUCCAUCAGCACUGCAUGCCAAAUGCCUGGAUGGGAGGGCGUCAGCAGUGGGAGGCUGUGGAGCAACAGGAGGAACGGUGGGGUGGCUUUGAACAGAGCAUCUCAACGAGCUGUUUGCAAAUUCCAUGCAAUAAAUACUGAUGGAAUGAAGCCAUCUCUGUGGGGCCAGCAGCAGUCAGAGAGCAGCAUGGUGGAUAAAGAAAGUUCUUGCCAACUCCUUUAUCUUUCCAGUUCCAGGAUCUCUAAGUCCCACGCAGAGAAGUCAGUCCAGUUUUUCCCUUGAAGAUCUGCAAAAAACAAACAACAAAUCAUUAAAACUGAAAAGAUGAAA